UUAGCCUGAGAAAUAGCUACCACUUCUACGGAGGGCAGCAGGCGCGCAAAUUGCCCAAUGUCAAAAAAAAACGAUGAGGCAGCGAAAAGAAAUAGAGCCGACAGUGCAUUUUGUAUUGUCGUUUUCAAUGGGGGAUAUUUAAACCCAUCCAAAAUCGAGUAACAAUUGGAGGACAAGUCUGGUACCAGCACCCGCGGUAAUUCCGGCUCCAAAAGCGUAUAUUAAUGCUGUUGCUGUUAAAGGGUUCGA
RNAcentral lists this ribosomal RNA (249 nucleotides) under Trypanosoma noyesi. RNAcentral's name for it is "partial small subunit ribosomal RNA". It matches the Rfam family "Eukaryotic small subunit ribosomal RNA", at positions 391 to 631 of the family's 1831-position model. The record is from RNAcentral. Lineage: Eukaryota; Euglenozoa; Kinetoplastea; Trypanosomatida; Trypanosomatidae.